UGGCAAGGCUGGACCGUCGGCGAAGCCAUCCUGAGCCACAUGACUGCCUGAAUCCGGGUCCCUGAGCAGAACUGCUGAGUUUGGAUGCUUCCAGACUAGAGCAAAGUUCCUCAGCCUAUCUCUAUGAAAACUCGAUUAUCGUCAUUAAAUACAUACCGUGAUACACAAUGUCUCUGCAAUACUCCCCGAUGAGCCCAUGCACCGAACCUAAUGACUCUGACUGUAGCUAAAUAUUGUACUUGACUGUUAAGACACCACCGUAUGCUCAGCUCCUACCGCUGAUGAGAGGUCUACGAAGCAGCCUGAUGAUUUUCUGAAGGUCUGAGAUCAUGGUAACACCAUGAGAUUCACAAAAAAAAAGAUGUUUCCUUUCCCUUCCUCCCACUCCCUGCAAGGCUCAUUUUGCAAACUGCAGCUGCUGGAAAUGGAAAGCCAGCUAGAGCAACGUUGCUAUGAUGGUGCCGCGGAGCUGGGAUGCUGCAGCAGGAAUCAGCAGGUUGAGCCGAUUUUGGGCUCCCAAAGCACCGUGUUUGGAUGGACUUUAUUCUCCCGCUUGUGAGACGAGAUGGAGGAGCUGCUGACACUGCUGUUACGUGGAUCCGGUGCAAUCCUCUGCACUCCUGCCGGCAAUGUCAGGAACCCGUGUGGCUGUGUGCUACUGGUGCAGGUGAAGGCUGUCACCUCACAACCGAGUUUGUCCCCAGGCUCCGCUCAGGACUGGCCAGCCCUGCGUCUUCAGAGGGGCCCCACAGGACCAUGGAAUCUGUGCGAGCAAGACUGGUGGAACUGGGCAAGUGAGGAGUGAUGAGAGCUGCUAUGAGAGCUGUAACUUUGAGAACUCGUAACUCACAGCUCAAUAUGAUUCACCAAUUUCCAAUGAAGCCAUCUGUGAUGGGAGCUAAAAUGAGAACAGAACAGGAUUCACUAUGAAAUGCUCGUCAGAAGUACUCCCCUCAAGUGCAUGCUCUGCGGUUCUCACACUGCCAGAAGCAGCUUCUCACUGAAGGCAAAGAAAGUACACAGAAAAGUUAGACGAAUGGACUGGUUUGAUCUCAAAUGGACAGCAAGUCAUAAUGAUACGUUCAACAGAGAGGUUCAACCAGAUCGACAGCUGAGAAGACUUGGCAGUAAGAGAUAAGUGAUAAUGAUCUCCAUCAUGCGUUUCUACAGCACCUUUUAUUCCAAACUACUCCUAAUAUAACAAGAAUUUCUUUCCUUUUCUCUUCUUACUCUAGGCUACGCUUCAUAUGGGGAGUGGGGAAGUGGGGAGGAGAAGGAUUUAUGUCUCUAAAGCAGCUAUAUAGGCAGAAAUGCUGAGUGACAAACGAAAGUGAAAGAAGCUGUGCUUUGAUAGGCACAUUUAGGUGCCAUUCCUGAACUAAGGCCUGGGAGAAGUCCAGCUGAAAUCAGUGAGACUGUUCAUGUGAGAAAUGAUGAGAAGGAUUAGGUAUAGCUGGAACAUACUGAUAGCAUAACAUUUCUGAAGCAUUAUCCUGAGCCUUGGACAUGGGCACCCCUUGCUUGGGUGGUUUAGCAGAAUUAGUAGAAAUGUAAAUUCUAACAGGCACAAGAUCACCCUGUGUCUCCCUUAGGUUGGCUUCAGAAAUUUAACACGCACCUUUUGUUCUCCUGACCAUUCUCACAUAGCCCUGAGAAGUAAAGAGCAAACUCCACAAGAGUUUAUUUGGAGGCACUGCUUUACAUGCAUCCAGCACAUGUGACACUGCUGUGCUGUGGCACACGUUAGCACUAUCCAAGUUCCUCUGACAGGAACUAGAAAACAUCUUUUCCAUUUGAAGCCACAAGGGAAUUUAAAAAGGGAAAGGAGAAACUACAGAAAAGAAGUGCAGAAAAUACAAAAUCAAUUUUUCUGUGGGAUUUUGGCAAUGCAAAGUAACGUCAGCUUAUUUAACACAUUGAUGUUCAUUAAUUUUCUUUUUUUACUCUAUAAGUUGGCAGAAGAAUGAGCUAAGUGAAUGACUAUUGCUUAGUGAUAUUUGAUCAAAUAAGCUACUAUUGUUUCCAUUCCACUUCCUACAAAAGUCUGAGGAAAAACAGUAAAUACAAACAGGUGAGGAACAUACUGGAAAUAUGAUUACACAAAAAGCCUGAUGCAUGUUUUUACAUAUUUCUUUUCCUAAGUCAUAUUUCGCAGCAGGUUACCUAAAUGGGAAUUUACUAGGACAAUCUCUUUCAAAAGUGCAGUUACAUAUCUAAUGACAGUAUGUGCUCAGAAGUUUGCUAUCCAUGAUGUUUGAAAGACUACAUCUUUCGUAGCACAAAGAAAAAUGUCACAUAUUGAAUUGCACAGAGAUUAUUCUUCAGCAGCCCAGCUAUUUCUUAGAAUCUGAGUAACCUUGAGUAACCCUCUUACCUUAUGUAAACUGGAAAAAUCAUAGUGGAAGGUGACUACAGGAUGUAGAAAAGCUAUAGGAGAAAACAUUGCUUUAUCAGGAAGGAGAUGAAAUGGUCACACAGCUUUUUGGUCUCUUUGGCCUUUGUUUCUGCAAGAAGUGAAGCUCAUGACAAAUAUCACUGCCUUAAGAUGAAUAUCACAUUACUGGAGAGUACAAGUACUGGAGAACAGUACUUGAUCAUUUAUUGAAGAGCCUUGUAAAACGAAUAGAAACUAGCAUCCAGAGGCUUUUGCAAGUCGUAUCAGUAUGUCUGGAGGCUGUGCGGUGGCGUGCCAGCUACUAGCUCACUUCAGUGAUGGGCUGGCACACCUUGACACAGCCUCCAGUGAAGGCAGCUGAGCUCCACGUUUGUAAUUAGACUUCUUAUCUUGCCAAUUAAAUAUGGAGAUAUGAAAUAAAAUAUAAUUUCAGAAUAUUAGAAAGAGUAAGAGAAUGAUCUCAGAAGCCAGGUCUUUAUUUUAGAGAUAGAUUUUAUUGCUUCCCCAAACCAAAUUGUCAAUAGAAGGGGAGGAAAUAAAGCAGCUCUUUUGCAAAAGCCAGGGACAAACUACGGGUAGGACCAUGAGUCUGUACUCAGGUUACCUGCAAUUAAGAAUUUCUUGGGUAUGUUAUUGCUUCCAAGAUUAAAAGUCAUUACCUGCGAGGCUACGUCAACAAUCACUGCUACCAUCUAGCUCUCCUCCAUUUGAGAGAGUUGCAAGCCUCUGCUCCCAUCGUCAUUCGAAACGCAAGUAUAUUCUGGGAGCCAGUUUCAUUCUCCAACUUGUACCUAAGCACAACUCUCAGGAAGUUUCUCAACACAACUGCCUGAAAAGCAAAGCUCCCUGUUUCCUACAGGCUCUCCACCAGCAGCACAGGGGUGUUGACAGCAACUGAACAAGCAGCAGCUGUGCUUGCAACAGCCACAGCGAGGAACCAGUAUCCAAGAGUGUCAGAGAGCAUCAGAGUUGUCAGCAGGCUCCUGCCAGCACCUUUCCCUUCAGACUCUUACUUUGUACUUUCUACAUUUUAAGCACGUGACUGUGUAUGGCAAAGAAGAAAAUGGGUGAGAAGAUCUGCUUUGUUUUCUGUUUAUACCACAUGGAAGGCUAUGGAUCCAUACAUCUCACAGACUUUACUGGGUCAACCAAAAUAUUUCUGGUAAAUUCACAUAGGUGAUUUCAAAAGCAUCAUAUUGGCAGUUUCUCAAACAUGAGUCACUUGCAUGAAAACUCUCCUGGGUGCAGGAACAUGGUAUGUGCUCCAUUCAUUUAGCCUGCAAUGGUGUGUUUAAGAAUGGAGGCUGAAGCUUUCUCUAGGCUUUUCUCUUGGGUUAUUCUGAGGUUAAUAACUAAGCACUGUUAAUGAGCAGGCUGAGCACUGCAGCUGCAGGAGAGACGGGAAGGAAAAGGUCAGAUGCUCACUCUCAUAGCAAAAGCAUUUGUCACGUGUGAAGCUGAAUCUAGAGAUAGAUAGAUGCUGCCUUCAAAAUUCCUUAAUCUCUUUGAGGAGUUCAUUAAUAAAAGGACCUGUUUCCUGCUUCACCAGGAGCUCAGUGAUACAGGGGAUUUUGUUCUCUCAGCUUUCUGCUUCAGCCUCUCCUUACUGGAAAGUAACAUCCAUCUGCACAUCUUUCAAAGAUAUUAGAAGUCUCCUGUUAUAUUCUUUAACUGACAGCUCAUCAUCGCCCUCCUCUCACAUCACCUCAUCCAGUCAGCUUGAAAACUGCUUGCAACGCUGCCAUGCAUCAUCUCCCAAACCUGACUAAGCUCUCCUUUGGGGCUCUAAGCACCCCGCCAGAAACCUCCAAGAGUAACAGGCAUGAGCUCUCCAUUCCCGUUGGCCCUGACAGCAUCCCUGAUACAAUGGUGAGAUUCUCCACAAAGCGCUGGACCAAUCCAUAUGUGCUUCUCUAGGCAUUAAGUCCUCAACCUCCACCCCAAAUUAUGGUCCCUGGAGUGCAGAAUAGAGAGCCCCUGUGUUGGUAAGGGAGAUGGAGUACACAAUGAACAAGGACAGGGUGAGAAAACUGGAUGUAGCCAGUCUUGAAAAGGAAAGGGUGAGAGGAUCUCAUUGCUCCUCUUCAACUGCCUAGUGACAGGGUGCAAAAAAGUCAGACCACUGAAAGUGCACAGAUGAUAGGAUAACAGGCAGUGGACAAGAGUUACAAUAAGAGAAAAUCUGAGCAAAGAUUAGGAAAAAACUGUCACCAGUCCGGCAUCGGACCAAGUAUGCACUAAGGCUGCAACAUCUCCAUCCUGAGAUAUUCAUAUCUUGAGUAGACAGGGCCCUGGCCAACUUAACUUAGCUGGCCCACCUUUAGCAGGUGAUUUGAUCAGAUGAUUUCCAGAGAUCCCUUCUAAAGUGCUCUAAGCAGCCUCUGCUUUGUCAGAAGUGUCAAUACAUUCAGGUGGUGGUGGCGACUGCUCCAUCCCACUCCUAGCUAGUUCAACAAAACAUUAACUAGAUCCAUUACCACGAUGUAAAGCCUCCAACAGAAAACUGCCCUGUCAGCAGUGAGGGGCUAUGGAGAUUUUCAGAAUUCUUUCUGCAGGGGUGCCGUGAUUACGAUCAUACGUUUGCAAUAAUGAUAAUGGAGCUAACCAUAAUACCAUUUCCAACUGAGGUAAGCUAUGGAUAUGUAUAAAAUACGUAUCAAAUUAUUUCUAGAUUUUUUAAGUUCAGAGCCGACAGGAGUUUUUUAUUAUAAUGAUUUUGUAUUGACAUAACAACAACUUUCAGCUAAGCGGUUAGGACUAUAUAUUUCCCUCAUGGCCUCCAAAAGCACUGUAAAUUGAAAUGUACAUUAAAAACAGUCAGUCUUUGUUUGCUGGCAACAUUGAAGGAGAAUUGACUGCAGUUUUAUUAAAAAAAAUUCCUAUCUUAAGUGACUGACCUACAAUGAGGAGUCUUAAUAAAACUCUCGUUUAAGAUUAAAACCAACAUUCUGUUUGACUACAUCCAUAGAAGCAUCAUUUUGCUCAACAAAAGUGUAAAGAUGCUCAUUAAUGUCUUCACAAAACCAAUGACUUGAUACAAAGCAUCAGACUAAAGAAAUCAAGAACUCAAAUACUCUGUCCUGCACCGACCUGACCGUACACGUUGCCUGCAGCUGCUCCAGCAAGCAAGGACAACCUGUUUCCUGCUCUGUCCUGGUCCCUGGAGAGACCUCUGUCCAACCUCCUUGGUUCAAAUACUUCAGUAGAAAACCAUCUUCACAGACAACCUGAGUGUCCAGUCCUAACACAGUAGUAAAGAUAACAGGAAAAAGCUGGGACUGGUAAUGAAAAAGUCCCUCUGGACCUUAAAAACUUGACUCAGUUAAAGCAGAAAAAUAGCAUCUAAAAACUAUAAAAGAUGAAUGAGACGACGUGGCCAGGUCCUAAGGCUGCCUCUCCUGCAAACAAAGUUGUCUGUGCAGAAGUGAUAGGUGCUAAUUAAUAAACAGUACUGCUUUUUCUUUACCAAUUAUUUAUUGAAACACCCGAUACUCCUCUUUGAUAAGCCAGUCUGAAUUGGUAAUAGCUUUUAUCACAGCCGUGAGCAAGCAGAAUCAAGUAUAGAGUGCCGUUCCUUUUAAGUUGUUUAUCUCCUCCUGUUACAGAAUUCUCUGCAGAGUUUGUUUGGAGUUGUAAUGAAUUAAACACCUUAUUUUUUAUUAUUAUUUGUAUUGUAGUAGUCUCUAGAAAUCCCACUGUGGACAACGGCUUUGCUGUUAUGUGAAUACAACUUUGAACACAGAAAAGGCUGUGUCCCACAGACCUUACCCCUGAGCCUUGUGAUUGAUUGCUUAUAUGUAUUCCUUCCAAAUGUUUUCUCUGAGCGAGUGUUUUCUGUAAUUUAUGUCAUAUUCUAUCUCCUGCUUUGUUUUGUGUCUGUAUUUGGGGAUGCAGUUUGCACAAAGCAACUGAAAAUGCAAAGUUGCAUUGCACAGGCCCACAGACAAACUCCAUAAAGCACUGAGAUCUGCACUUUCUGGAGAAUGAAACUAAACUCAGAGCAGAAGAGUAGAAAAUUUUCUAGCCAUGCCAAACAAGUUCAUGAUAUAAAGACCACAGGAAAAGACCACUGGUCCUUAACCAAUACAUUGCAGUUAAUUUGAAAACCCCAAUACACUGUCACAAAAUGUGAUCGUUUCACUUUGUUUUCACCAGGAAAAAACCAAAACCAAACCUCAACACAGUAAACAGAGCAAGCAGAUUGCUGGCCUUGGAGCAGCGAGCCUCUAGAGCACUGAUUAAAGUCAUCCACCCUCCAACACAUACAACUCCUCCCAAGAACUUAAGAUAUAACCAAUGCCCUCACAACCUAUUAGCCAGCUUUGCAUCCUGAACAAGAGAACCCUGGGGCCCAGCUCUGAAAGGUCAUGAAAUUUCUUAGGCUUAAACUAGACUUAAAAAUGGGUUUCCCAAAAGCAAAUGCAGGAAAAUAAUGAUUUGUAAGAGAAAAAAAUCUAAAGAAAUAACACAAUCCUCCCAUUCUUUUGAGUCUCCGAGUACAGGUGCAAAGGCGCGUGGCUCUGAAGGGGAAAGAAUCCAAAAUUUGGUUCUGGAGAAAGACAGAG
Long non-coding RNA from Cuculus canorus (common cuckoo), 6960 nucleotides. RefSeq lists it as uncharacterized. The transcript has 4 exons. The record is from RefSeq and is a predicted model, not a curated record. NCBI's taxonomy places the organism in Eukaryota, Metazoa, Chordata, Aves, Cuculiformes, Cuculidae.